RNAcentral lists this transfer RNA (74 nucleotides) under Clostridiales bacterium. Its description in RNAcentral is "tRNA-Met". It matches the Rfam family "tRNA". From Rfam's summary of the family: Transfer RNA (tRNA) molecules are approximately 80 nucleotides in length. The record is from RNAcentral. RNAcentral also lists the same sequence under 4 other names. Lineage: Bacteria; Bacillati; Bacillota; Clostridia; Eubacteriales.
GGCGGAGUAGCUCAGUUGGCUAGAGCACACGGUUCAUACCCGUGGUGUCGAGGGUUCGAAUCCCCCCUCCGCUA